Molecule: long non-coding RNA, 599 nt
Organism: Salvelinus sp. IW2-2015
Lineage: Eukaryota; Metazoa; Chordata; Actinopteri; Salmoniformes; Salmonidae
Source: RefSeq, a predicted model, not a curated record
GCUGUUCCAGGUCAAGGCAGCAAUGAACGUCUAGAGAGGGAGGCAAUGCUGACAAAUGAAGUGACAACAGAUGGCGCUAGCAGCACUUCCUCGGACUCUGGUCAAGGCAGCAAUGAACGUCUAGAGAGGGAGGCAAUGCUGACAAAUGAAGCCAUUGGGGAGUGACUGACAACGCAUUCAAAUCCAGCAAAGAACGUGUGAUUUUGCUUUGUUAACAAAUAUUGUCAAUCUAGAUGUGYUCAUUCCCAAGCAUUAAUAAUUUUGAUCCGAUUGGCUUGGAUAUGAAAAACGUAUUUAUUAACAUUUUGAUCUUUUGAAUAUCGUAGUGGAAUUCCUUGUUUGAAUAAAAUUUACCAAAUUAUUUUUCAACAAAUAGAUUGGUAAAUCCAUCAAUAUGUUGAACAUUUGAAUUGAUUGGUAUUGGAACCAUUAGGCUAUUUCUAUUGUAGAUUGAAAUGAUUGGUUUCUAGUUUAAAAAAUAAUAUUUUUUUGCGCACACACACACACACGCUGAACUGCUUUUAAAAUAUGUUUUGUUUUUGUUUUUUAUGGAAAGUAUAAUAAAUAAAUAAUUAAUAAAGGACUGCUUUGAACCAAUG